UGUGGGAGCGGGCUUGCCCGCGAUGACAAUGGAUCAUUCAACAACGUUGUUGAAUGUGAUUCCGCUAUCGCGGGCAAGCCCGCUCCCACA
This 90-nucleotide unclassified non-coding RNA is filed under the name Pseudomonas arsenicoxydans. Lineage: Bacteria; Pseudomonadati; Pseudomonadota; Gammaproteobacteria; Pseudomonadales; Pseudomonadaceae. The record is from RNAcentral.